GCCGGACGAAGUCGUUUAAUCUCGGUCAGAGUAAUCAUUGCAUUGGUGUACGUUUACAAAGUCAUUUUUCGAGUGUCCAUUUCCGUCAGGUCAAUAGAUAGACCAGCCGUAUCUACAAAAAUAGUAAUGAAAACGUAGCAUCAAUACGUGAUAAAUUUCACUCGCUCGGUACGUGGAAAGCUCGAGGGUAUAUUCCUAAGCAGUAGCACAGAAGCAUCGCUUGAUUUCUAAAACACACUCAAACCUUAUAGCAGCGCGAGGAGGAAAAACUUGCAAAGGCAACUGAACCGAAAUACGAAAGACACGCAGUAAUUUCAUCACGAAAUAACUUUCGAUUUCGAUUCCCGCCUCGAAUCCGGUGGUUUCUGCCACUGAGGAACGAACGAAAGUUACCUUUCACCGUCGUCGUCGUGUUGGUUCAGCCAGCGAACCGCAUUCACAUGUCGUUCGUCAUUGGGUUCCCGUGAAAGGUGCAAGUCCCUGGAGUGACAUAGAUUGUUCCAGUCGAGGAAAUUGAAUUACCCCUAGUGAAUUCCUCACGGAUUCUCUCUUCGUUUGGGACUGCUAAGCUGCGCAUUGCACGUGGAGCGGAGAUGAAAAGAGCACUCACGCAUAUGAAAAGAAAAGGGGACGAAUCGGAACAAUCAAUCGAAGCUGUCCAAGCCAAUUUGGAACGCUUGAUUCGAAGUGAUUGGAAGAAUUCGAUCAGAGUUUCCGCAAACAGAAAUUUUAUUAAAUGAUUGGUUACGUUUGCUGCAUUCAGUGGCGCUGUAGUUGUCAUCGAGGAGUGAAAUUUUGAUUAAUUCGAACAACGCUUAAUCUACUAGAAAGCCAUCUAAUCAUCGUAUCACAUCACAAUGUCUUACUUACUAUCAUAUAGUUGUUACUGUUUGUAAUCAAAACUGCAUGCAACAAUUAUACACUAAAACCUUUUAGUAGGUUAUUUUUA
This is a long non-coding RNA of Aedes albopictus (Asian tiger mosquito), 949 nucleotides long. RefSeq lists it as uncharacterized. Lineage: Eukaryota; Metazoa; Arthropoda; Insecta; Diptera; Culicidae. The record is from RefSeq and is a predicted model, not a curated record. The transcript has 2 exons.